GAAUAUGCUUAGAUUGAAUAUG
This 22-nucleotide non-coding RNA is filed under the name Arabidopsis thaliana (thale cress). Lineage: Eukaryota; Viridiplantae; Streptophyta; Magnoliopsida; Brassicales; Brassicaceae. The record is from RNAcentral.